RNAcentral lists this ribosomal RNA (611 nucleotides) under uncultured bacterium. RNAcentral's name for it is "bacterial SSU rRNA". It matches the Rfam family "Bacterial small subunit ribosomal RNA", at positions 67 to 711 of the family's 1533-position model. The record is from RNAcentral.
CGGGGUCGGAACUUCGGUUCUGGCUUACGUGGCGCACGGGUGAGUAACACGUGGGAAUCUGCCCAUCUAUGGGGAAUAACUGCGGGAAACUGCAGCUAAUACCGCAUACGCCCUUCGGGGGAAAGGCUUCGGCCGUAGAUGGAUGAGCCCGCGUCCGAUUAGCUAGUUGGUGGGGUAAAAGCCUACCAAGGCGACGAUCGGUAGCUGGUCUGAGAGGAUGAUCAGCCACACUGGGACUGAGACACGGCCCAGACUCCUACGGGAGGCAGCAGUGGGGAAUAUUGGACAAUGGGCGAAAGCCUGAUCCAGCAAUGCCGCGUGAGUGAUGAAGGUCUUCGGAUUGUAAAGCUCUUUCGACGGGGAAGAUAAUGACGGUACCCGUAGAAGAAGCCCCGGCUAACUUCGUGCCAGCAGCCGCGGUAAUACGAAGGGGGCUAGCGUUGUUCGGAUUUACUGGGCGUAAAGCGUGCGUAGGCGGCUUGUCAAGUCAGAAGUGAAAGCCCGGGGCUCAACUCCGGAACUGCUUUUGAGACUGGCAGGCUUGAGUUCGGGAGAGGGUAGUGGAAUUCCCAGUGUAGAGGUGAAAUUCGUAGAUAUUGGGAAGAACACCG